Pleuronectes platessa (European plaice) is the source of this 779-nucleotide long non-coding RNA. RefSeq lists it as uncharacterized. The transcript is spliced from 4 exons. The record is from RefSeq and is a predicted model, not a curated record. Lineage: Eukaryota; Metazoa; Chordata; Actinopteri; Pleuronectiformes; Pleuronectidae.
GCUCUGCCUCAUCUAGUGUCUGAGGUGGUGUGUCAUCCGUGCAAACCAUCAACAGAGAGUCACAUUAUAAUGAGACUGACGAGAGUCCCGGAUUUUUAAAGCAGAAGUCACAACGAACGUAGCCAGGUGGUGAAGCUGCAGCAGCACUCGGACCACAGCAUCUGUCCAGGAUCUGUUCACAGAUACAUGCAAGAGGCUGAGCUUGGGAUAAAGAGAGGAGAUCCAGAUGAAAAAGUCAUUCACCAACACAGAGGAGGAUUGGUUGUGUAUACAUGAAGUGGAAAGCAGAGAAGAUAAGGAAAAACAACAGCUUAUUAAACCCAGAGAUGCCGGUGUACAUCUCAGCAAAGCGUGGGUCUCUCUCUUGGGAGAACAGAGCCUCCGUCUUGUCGAUGUUCUUGCCUGCCUCAUGGACUCCACUGCUGACGCUGGCCACAGGCACCUGAGGGAGAGAGGGUGUGCGGGAGAUGUUUGGGAUUAUUUAUUUUUGGUUAUAAUAAAAUGCCAGACAAACACAAGUUGCACAUACACAAGUGAAACCGAUUCCAUCCACUUUUCUAUGCUAAUUAGAAGCAUUUUAGCCAAGUAGGCAAGGAAGAGGAAAUAAAAAAAGAGGAUAAUCAAUGAGAUUGUUUUCUGGUCUGCACUGCUUUGCCAACCCCUAAGGAAAAUUCAAGUUUUCAGGCAGUUAACGAGUCUUACUGUCAAACACAUCAUACACACUGUGAUAAAAAACAUCUAUUAUAGCUGUGUUAACAAAAUAAAUUGCUUAAAUCACA